GUUUGAUCCUGGCUCAGAUUGAACGCUGGCGGCAGGCUUAACACAUGCAAGUCGAGCGGGGGAAGGUAGCUUGCUACUGGACCUAGCGGCGGACGGGUGAGUAAUGCUUAGGAAUCUGCCUAUUAGUGGGGGACAACAUCUCGAAAGGGAUGCUAAUACCGCAUACGUCCUACGGGAGAAAGCAGGGGAUCUUCGGACCUUGCGCUAAUAGAUGAGCCUAAGUCGGAUUAGCUAGUUGGUGGGGUAAAGGCCUACCAAGGCGACGAUCUGUAGCGGGUCUGAGAGGAUGAUCCGCCACACUGGGACUGAGACACGGCCCAGACUCCUACGGGAGGCAGCAGUGGGGAAUAUUGGACAAUGGGGGGAACCCUGAUCCAGCCAUGCCGCGUGUGUGAAGAAGGCCUUAUGGUUGUAAAGCACUUUAAGCGAGGAGGAGGCUACUUUAGUUAAUACCUAGGGAUAGUGGACGUACUCGCAGAAUAAGCACCGG
This 490-nucleotide ribosomal RNA is filed under the name Acinetobacter baumannii. Its description in RNAcentral is "bacterial SSU rRNA". It matches the Rfam family "Bacterial small subunit ribosomal RNA", at positions 11 to 496 of the family's 1533-position model. The record is from RNAcentral. Lineage: Bacteria; Pseudomonadati; Pseudomonadota; Gammaproteobacteria; Moraxellales; Moraxellaceae.